RNAcentral lists this ribosomal RNA (710 nucleotides) under Amolops chunganensis (Chungan torrent frog). RNAcentral describes it as "partial 12S ribosomal RNA". It matches the Rfam family "Bacterial small subunit ribosomal RNA", at positions 263 to 1377 of the family's 1533-position model. The record is from RNAcentral. Lineage: Eukaryota; Metazoa; Chordata; Amphibia; Anura; Ranidae.
ACUUCCCAGGCCAAGGAGCCGGCAUCAGGCACAACCCAAUUGCCCACGACACCUAGUCUCACCACACCCCCAAGGGUGAUCAGCAGUGGUAAACUUUGCGCAUAAGCGACAGCUUGACUCAGUUAGAGAAAAGAGAGCCGGCUAACCUGGUGCCAGCCGCCGCGGCUAUACCCUGGGGCUCAAGUUGAUAAACACCGGCGUCAAGCGUGGUUAAAGCUUACGUAAAUUAGGGUCAAAUUGACACUUAGUAGUUAAAAGCUUGUCAUCAAGAAAACCAUAAACGAAAGUUACCCUAAUUAUACUUGAAUACACGACAGCUGGGAGGCAAACUAGGAUCAGAUACCCUACUAUGCCCAGCCGUAAACAAUUAACUUACACCAACCAACGCCAGGGGAUUACGAGCCAUGCUUAAAACCCAAAGGACUUGACGGUGUCCCAUUCCCCCUAGAGGAGCCUGUUCUGUAAUCGAUGAUCCCCGCUAUACCCAACCAUUCCUUGCUCCAGUCUGUAUACCUCCGUCGAAAGUCUACCCUGUGAACGCAAGUAGACCUAAUGCCCCCAUACGUCAGGUCAAGGUGCAGCUCACGGAAUGGAAAGUAAUGGGCUACAAUUUCUAGUAUAGAACAAACGAACGACUAUGUGAAACCGUGGUCACGAAGGUGGAUUUAGUAGUAAAAAGAAAAUAGAGUGUUCUUUUUAACCGGCUCUGG